CCAAAGUUUUAAUGGACUUUUAAAAUCAGAGUACACACACUGACACAUGUACAGGGUUCGCACAGGCUUAAAAAGUACUUGAAAAUGAAGGACAGUCUUGAAAAGUCCUUGAAAACAAAACUUGUCUUGAAAAGUGCUUGAAAAUUGCCCAAAGACCUUGAAAAGUACUUGAAUUUCUUAUUUUCUCAUAUGCUAGGCAAUUAAAAUCUCCCUGAAAAUCAAAAGUAAAUCUUUUAGAAUAAAAUCAGCAAGUUUCGAGCAAUGGGCAGAGCUACGAAAACGCCGUAAUAAAAAAGGUCGAAAGUGUUCGGGAUGAACGCAAAGUUUGGGUACGAAUGUUAUGUACAUUCUGUUAGCGUUGUCUCCCCUGACUAAAAUGGCGGCUAGAAUUUACAAAUCUGUGUAAGUAUUAUUUAUAAAUAAGUCCUUGAAAACUAUAAGACUAGUGCUUGAAAAGUCCUUGAAUUUGACUUGGCCUUGUCUGUAUGAACCCUGUUGUAGCAUUGCACAUCAGACUGCAAUUUUGACAACUGUGACUAGCUCACUGCAAAAGGGAUAAAAGAUAAUCUAAGGAGGGAUAUUUAUCAGCCUUUGUUUAAGUCAACAGUCAGUUGAACAGUGGGAUUUUUUCCUAUAUGUACAUUCACAUAAAUUUCUUUAAAAAAUUAUGUUGCUUAAGGUAGUGGACCCUUAAUAGUUUUUUUUGGCAAUUUCAGUGUGAUUUUUGGCAUUCUUUGGCCAUAAAUGUAAUUCAUAUCAGCAAUAACUUCGAUAUCAGCUGGAAAAUGCCGAAAUCAUAUACGGAGAAAACAAUUAAACGGAACUUAACGAUUGUCAUUACAGAUCCACUACCUUAAAUAAAGACCAUAAACAUCAAGAUCUUAUUUAAACAAUAAAUUUGGAUUAUGUAUCAUACUGUGUAUUUAUUUGUAGGCAUGGCUGAACUAUGAGAUGUUUCUCAAGAGACUUGCAAGACUGGCUGCUGAUAAUGCUAAACAAGAUAAAUCUGCUGUAAUCAGAGACAAUCAUAUUCGUAAUGCAGCUAAGACUAUCCUUGGCGGUAUCAGAGGCUGAACAUUUAGCUAUACGCAUUACCAUGGGGGAAAAGUGCAAUAGUGAAAAGUCAGUGUGAACUGCAACAGUUACUGUUAAAUUGUUGAACAUUAAAAACUGCAGUUGUUACUGUGUUGAACAACUUUCUUUUGGUUCUGCUACUGAAUCUACAGCUGUCGUUCACAAUGUGAAUUUGAUCCAACACUAUUCUGUAUUAUACUAACGGAGAGAUGUCUGCAGGUUGGACUACAGUUGCCGAGGCAUAUCGUUUGAAGUAUUAUAUUAUUAAAAAAAAUGAGGAAUCUGCAUGGCAAUUGAAGACCUGUUUUUAGAUGAGGAGAUAGGAAGCUAAUUAAGGACAGCGAAUAAUAGUUGCAUUUAGCAAUAUUUCUGAUUUGGUGAAGUAGAAUUGUGUACAUUUUCUCCAAUUGAAUUAAUUAAAUUUUUACUAGAAAAAUAGCCCUUACGUGAUCAAGCAUGAUUAAAAUCUGUUGUAUCGCUUUAAAAAAAAACACUGUAAAAAAGCUAAUUUUUAGCUUGCCUAUACGAAGUAUAUGGACAGCUGUUCUACUCACCCUGAUGUCGGUGUCUUUUCGGGUCCCCACCUAAUCAAAUUUUUUACACUUUCUCUUUUUUCUCCAUAUCUCUGUAAUUACUUGAUGAAUUUGCUUUAAACUUAAAAUAGUUAUUCCCCAUCAUCACCCACAUCAUAUGGCACAAGGGCCAAAACUCUCACACCAAUAUUUCAUUAAUUAUCCCCCAUUUUUACUUAGUAUUUCAGGUUCAAGUUUUUAUGCACUUUUCACUCUAUCUCAAUUAUUCCUAAAUCGACUGGAUUCAGACUGAAAGUAGUUGUUCCACAUCAUCUCCCACAUGAUAUGACACAAGGCACAUAACUCUGGUACCAAUAUUUAAUGAAUUAUCCCCCCUUUUUACCUUGAAUUUCAUGUUAAAGUUUUGAUGCACUUCCACUGUAUCUCAGUUAUUACUAAAUGGAUUUGAUUCAAACUUAAAAUUGUUGUUCAACAUCAUCACCCACAUCAUAUGACACAAGGGACAUAACUCUUGCACCAACAUUUCAUGAAUUACCCCCCUCUUUACUUAGAAUUAGAAUUUCAGGUUAAAGUUUGGUACACUUUCACUGUAUCUCAAUUAUUACUAAAUGGGUUUGAUUCAAACAUAAAAUAUUGUUCCACCUUAUCACCCACAUCAUUUGUGACACAAGGUGCAUAACUCUGGCACCAAUUUUUCAUGAAUUAUGCCCCUUGUACUUAGAAUAUAAGAUUAAUUUUGAUGUAUUUUCACUAUAUCUCAAGUUAUUAUGAAAUGCAUUUUAUUCAAACUUGAAGUAGUUGUUCCACAUUAUAUGACACAAGAUGCAUAACUCUUCCACCAAUAUUUUAUGAAUUAUGCCCCCUUUCUGCUUAGUAUAUACUUAUAUAGUGUUUUGGUUAGGGCUGUAACGAAUACACUAAGGGGCGAAUAUGAUACGUAUCACGAAUACAAGUAUUUUAUUCAUGAAUACGAAUUCUAUAUAAAAAGGUCACCGAACAGUAUGUGGCUUUUGCCAACAAUAGAUUACAGUCUGCUGACAAGAUUCUAGUACUUACUUGGUACUCAAAACACUGUGAUUGUGAACUAAUACUGUUCAAAAGUAAAACAAAAAACACACAGUUAGCAUGUAACUUUGUAAGCUUAUAGAACUUUGGAUUCAAAUGACUUAAACUGUCAACUGUUUGGCAAAAAAACGACUAGAGACGACCAAAAACUGACGAUGUGUAUUUGGCAAGAUGAUCCCCUAUUUCAAAAUUAUUUUAAAAUUAUAUAAAAUUACGAAUUCAAUCCCAUUUCAAACCCAGAAAAUUAUUAAAAUCAUUUUAUAAAUAGUAAACCAACAUCAAAUAUUGGCCCUAUGAGACUUAUCAAAUAAUUGUCGUGAAAAUAUUUGUCUACUGUUGUGGGUGGGGGUAAUACGAAGAAAAUUAAUGCGAAAUGCGCUAUGAAACGCAAGCAUUUUGGUAGCUUUCUUGUGUUGUAGGUAAAUUCAAGUAAUUUUAGUAUGGAUUAUGCAGUUUUUAUUUAUAUUCGUAAAUAUUUGGUUCAGGACAUAGAAAAUAACGAAUACAAUUUGGACAAAACUGUAUUCGAUUAAAUGGAAUAUUCGAAUGUAUCGUUACAGCCCUAGCUAGUUUUGGUACACUUUAUCUGUACCUCUCUUAUAACUUAAUAUUUUUAACACAACUCAAGCUGUUGUGCAAUAUUCAUCCACCAUUAGUCAUUAAACACUCCUGUGACAGCUCCAUUUUUUCCUUAGAUGUGCCCAGUUUCACUAUCCAGCAUCGAAAUAGUCAAGCGCACUGUCUCCUGUGACAGCUCUUGUUUGUACUCUGGGUACUUACAUCCAUUUGUUGCUUUCCAUAUAGAUAUAUUGAAGCCUUUGAUGGUUAUUCAAUUUUGUGUUGUUACAUAUAUUUUUUUGCAUACAUAUUGACCUAGUGGACCAGUAGUGAUAGCUGAUAACUUCCAUUCCAUUGCAUAUACUAUGCUAUUGUGGCUUUUGAGCUGGUGUGAAUGGCUCAGGAAACAGAUUUUUAAUAGUUGUUGAAACAUUUCUUUAUGAUUUCUGAACGUGAUGAACCACUAGCGAAAUAAUAACUUAAGGCUUACCAGUGUUCCUAAAAUUUCUAAAAAAAAAAAAAAAAAAAAAAAAGAAAAAUCAAAGGAAAUUUAUAAAAAUGCCCUAUUUUCCCCUCUUAAUAUUUGUUUUUCAACAUACUAUUGGAGUUUGAUUAGUACUUCAUGCUUAAUAUGUUUAAAUGUUGUUUUAUAGGUCUUCUUAUUCGCUGCAAGCAGUUUUAUCCAGUUUAUAGACAACUGACCAGUGGUUCAGUCUGUUAUUAGCUGUGACUGGAUAAGAGAGAUUGAAUGUCUAUAUUUUAGUAAACAGUCUUAAUUUUAUCCCAAAAAUAUCUAAGAAAUAGUAGCAAAUUCCUAAUUUUAGCCCAAAGUUUUGUUUAAAAUCACCCUAAAUUUUUGUCAGAAGAUGCUGAACACCCUGUUUAAACUUGUGUAAUAAGUUUACUCAAAGUCUUGUAUUCUCAAAGAUUCAUGUUUUGAUUUGUAUCUUGUUUAGUAAAUCUUUAUGGGCAUUGUUUCAA
Mercenaria mercenaria is the source of this 4211-nucleotide long non-coding RNA. RefSeq lists it as uncharacterized. The record is from RefSeq and is a predicted model, not a curated record. NCBI's taxonomy places the organism in Eukaryota, Metazoa, Mollusca, Bivalvia, Venerida, Veneridae. The transcript has 2 exons.